UUUGUUCCUUGUUUCUUUGUU
Molecule: non-coding RNA, 21 nt
Filed under: Caenorhabditis elegans
Lineage: Eukaryota; Metazoa; Nematoda; Chromadorea; Rhabditida; Rhabditidae
Source: RNAcentral